Molecule: ribosomal RNA, 230 nt
Filed under: uncultured microorganism
Description: partial 16S ribosomal RNA
Rfam family: Bacterial small subunit ribosomal RNA
Source: RNAcentral
UACGUAGGGGCCGAGCGUUGUCCGGAGUUACUGGGCGUAAAGCGUGCGCAGGCGGCCGAUCGCGCCCGGCGUGAAAGCCCCCGGCUCAACCGGGGAGGGUCGUCGGGGACGGGUCGGCUUGAGGGUGCCAGGGGCUGGUGGAAUUCCCGGUGUAGUGGUGAAAUGCGUAGAGAUCGGGAGGAACACCCGUGGCGAAGGCGGCCAGCUGGGGCACACCUGACGCUGAGGCA